CCUACGGGAGGCAGCAGCAGGAAAUCUUGCGCAAUGGGCGAAAGCCUGACGCAGCGACACCGCGUGGGGGAUGAAGGCCUUCGGGUUGUAAACCCCUUUCAGGAGGGAAGAAAUUGACGGUACCUCCACAAGAAGGACCGGCCAACUACGUGCCAGCAGCCGCGGUAAUACGUAGGGUCCGAGCGUUAUCCGGAAUCAUUGGGCGUAAAGAGCUCGUAGGCGGUUCAGCAAGUCGGCUGUGAAAGUUCGAGGCUCAACCUCGAAAUUGCAGUCGAUACUGCUGUGACUCGAGUCCGGUAGAGGAGAAUGGAAUUCCCGGUGUAGCGGUGAAAUGCGCAGAUAUCGGGAGGAACACCAGUAGCGAAGGCGGUUCUCUGGGCCGGUACUGACGCUGAGGAGCGAAAGCGUGGGGAGCAAACAGGAUUAGAUACCCUGGUAGUCCACGCCGUAAACGUUGGACACUAGGUGUGGCGGUCUACCAACGACUGCCGUGCCGAAGCUAACGCAUUAAGUGUCCCGCCUGGGGAGUACGGCCGCAAGGCUAAAACUCAAAGGAAUUGACGG
RNAcentral lists this ribosomal RNA (564 nucleotides) under uncultured bacterium. RNAcentral describes it as "bacterial SSU rRNA". It matches the Rfam family "Bacterial small subunit ribosomal RNA", at positions 338 to 916 of the family's 1533-position model. The record is from RNAcentral.